RNAcentral lists this ribosomal RNA (399 nucleotides) under uncultured bacterium. RNAcentral describes it as "bacterial SSU rRNA". It matches the Rfam family "Bacterial small subunit ribosomal RNA", at positions 356 to 773 of the family's 1533-position model. The record is from RNAcentral.
GGGGAAUAUUGCACAAUGGAGGAAACUCUGAUGCAGCGACGCCGCGUGAGCGAUGAAGGCCUUCGGGUCGUAAAGCUCUGUCCUAUGGGACGAUAAUGACGGUACCAUAGGAGGAAGCCCCGGCUAACUACGUGCCAGCAGCCGCGGUAAUACGUAGGGGGCGAGCGUUGUCCGGAAUGACUGGGCGUAAAGGGUACGUAGGCGGCUAGGUAAGUCAGAUGUGAAGGGCAUGGGCUCAACCCAUGUUAGCAUUUGAAACUGCUUAGCUUGAGUUAAGGAGAGGAAAGUGGAAUUCCUGGUGUAGCGGUGAAAUGCGUAGAUAUCAGGAGGAAUACCAGUGGCGAAGGCGACUUUCUGGACUUAUACUGACGCUGAGGUACGAAAGCGUGGGGAGCAAAC